This 701-nucleotide long non-coding RNA is filed under the name Manihot esculenta (cassava). RNAcentral describes it as "long non-coding RNA (MESC_LNC005899)". Lineage: Eukaryota; Viridiplantae; Streptophyta; Magnoliopsida; Malpighiales; Euphorbiaceae. The record is from RNAcentral.
UACUCUUUCCCAAUCAUGCAUACUCUCUCCCAUAAGCUCAAGGGGCUUGAAAACUGACCUAAACCCCAACACAAACAUCACAUGAACAUACAUUAUCAUACAUUGGGCAUAAAACCCACAUAAACCCUAACAUGCAUAUCUACCCAUACUCAACUAUCAAAACCAUCUUAAAACUCACUUAAAACUUCGUGAAACGUAAAGGAAAGCAUAGAUCCACACUUACCUCUUGAAGAUCGAGGGUUUGUGCGAGCUCUAACUUGGAGAUGCGAGGAAACUACUCCUUGGGUCUCCAAGCUCCUAAAACUCUGAUCUAAGCUUGAAAACUCUUCAAAACAACCAUGGAACUCAUAAAAAUAUGAAGGAGAUGAAGAGAAAACAUGAAAAUGACCAAAGGAGGACAUGAACACACCUGAGCUCGAGAAUGGGGAGAAAUCUCGCCCAUUUUCGGUCUGAGGGGCUUUUAUAGGUGGCCAGCCAAACCUCCUUCGGCGGCCUAACAUGCAUGCAAAACACCCCCAUGUUCGGCGGCCGAACUUGAGGUUCGGCGGCCGAACCUGGUUUGUUCAAACAUAGCUUUCGGAGGCCAAAAGCACUCCCGAAACCUUCCCAUGUUCGGCGGCCGAACUUCACUUUCGGCGGCCGAACCUGGCAAAAACCUCCUUGGUCUUUUCUUUUCAAAACUCACUUCUUUUUCAUUUAAA